Molecule: ribosomal RNA, 520 nt
Filed under: uncultured Glomus
Lineage: Eukaryota; Fungi; Glomeromycota; Glomeromycetes; Glomerales; Glomeraceae
Description: SSU rRNA
Rfam family: Eukaryotic small subunit ribosomal RNA
Source: RNAcentral
AGCAGCCGCGGUAAUUCCAGCUCCAAUAGCGUAUAUUAAAGUUGUUGCAGUUAAAAAGCUCGUAGUUGAAUUUCGGGGUCAGUAGGCUGGUCGUGCCACAGGUACGUACUGGUCUCACUGAUUCCUCCUUCCUGAUGAACCGUAAUGCCAUUAAUUUGGUGUUGCGGGGAAACUGGACUGUUACUUUGAAAAAAUUAGAGUGUUUAAAGCAGGCUAACGCUUGAAUACAUUAGCAUGGAAUAAUGAAAUAGGACGUUCGAUCCUAUUUUGUUGGUUUCUAGGAUUGACGUAAUGAUUAAUAGGGAUAGUUGGGGGCAUUAGUAUUCAAUUGUCAGAGGUGAAAUUCUUGGAUUUAUUGAAGACUAACUACUGCGAAAGCAUUUGCCAAGGAUGUUUUCAUUAAUCAAGAACGAAAGUUAGGGGAUCGAAGACGAUCAGAUACCGUCGUAGUCUUAACCAUAAACUAUGCCGACUAGGGAUCGGAUGAUGUUAAUUUUUUAAUGACUCAUUCGGCGCCUUA